UACGUAGGGGGCAAGCGUUGUCCGGAUUUAUUGGGCGUAAAGAGCGUGUAGGCGGCCGCACAGGUCCGUUGUGAAAACUGGAGGCUUAACCUUCAGACGUCGAUGGAAACCGUGCGGCUAGAGUCCGGAAGAGGAGAAUGGAAUUCCUGGUGUAGCGGUGAAAUGCGCAGAUAUCAGGAAGAACACCCGUGGCUAAGGCGGUUCUCUAGUACGGUACUGACGCUGAGACGCGACAGCGUGGGGAGCAAACAGG
Molecule: ribosomal RNA, 253 nt
Filed under: uncultured bacterium
Lineage: Bacteria
Description: partial 16S ribosomal RNA
Rfam family: Bacterial small subunit ribosomal RNA
Source: RNAcentral